GGCACAUUCGUGAUCUACCCUGUAGAUCCGGGCUUUUGUAGAAUUGUAAAUAUCAGAAGCUCGUCUCUACAGGUAUCUUACGGAUGACA
This 89-nucleotide microRNA precursor is filed under the name Apis mellifera (honey bee). RNAcentral's name for it is "microRNA ame-mir-993 precursor". Its record names the gene ame-mir-993. The stretch from base 9 to 83 matches the Rfam family "mir-10 microRNA precursor family". From Rfam's summary of the family: In this case the mature sequence comes from the 5' arm of the precursor. The extents of the hairpin precursors are not generally known and are estimated based on hairpin prediction. The products are thought to have regulatory roles through complementarity to mRNA. Lineage: Eukaryota; Metazoa; Arthropoda; Insecta; Hymenoptera; Apidae. The record is from miRBase by way of RNAcentral.